AUUGAACGCUGGCGGCAUGCCUUACACAUGCAAGUCGAACGGUAACGGGUCCUUCGGGAUGCCGACGAGUGGCGAACGGGUGAGUAAUAUAUCGGAACGUGCCCAGUAGUGGGGGAUAACUGCUCGAAAGAGCAGCUAAUACCGCAUGAGAUCUACGGAUGAAAGCAGGGGAUCGCAAGACCUUGUGCUACUAGAGCGGCCGAUGGCAGAUUAGGUAGUUGGUGGGAUAAAAGCUUACCAAGCCGACGAUCUGUAGCUGGUCUGAGGGGACGAUCAGCCACACGGGGACUGGGACACGGCCCAGACUCCUACGGGAGGCAGCAGUGGGGAAUUUUGGACAAUGGGCGAAAGCCUGAUCCAGCAAUGCCGCGUGCAGGAUGAAGGCCUUCGGGUUGUAAACUGCUUUUGUACGGAACGAAAAGCCCCGGGUUAAUACCCUGGGGUCAUGACGGUACCGUAAGAAUAAGCACCGGCUAACUACGUGCCAGCCGCCGCAGUAA
RNAcentral lists this ribosomal RNA (500 nucleotides) under uncultured bacterium. Its description in RNAcentral is "partial 16S ribosomal RNA". It matches the Rfam family "Bacterial small subunit ribosomal RNA", at positions 30 to 523 of the family's 1533-position model. The record is from RNAcentral.